UACGAAGGGGGCUAGCGUUGCUCGGAAUCACUGGGCGUAAAGGGCGCGUAGGCGGCUGAUCAAGUCGGGGGUGAAAGCCCGUGGCUCAACCACGGAAUGGCCUUCGAUACUGGUUGGCUUGAGACCGGAAGAGGACAGCGGAACUGCGAGUGUAGAGGUGAAAUUCGUAGAUAUCUGGAGGAACACCGGUGGCGAAGGCGGCAUCCUGGACCGGCAUUGACGCUGAGGCGCGAAAGCCAGGGGAGCAAACGGG
Molecule: ribosomal RNA, 253 nt
Filed under: uncultured bacterium
Lineage: Bacteria
Description: partial 16S ribosomal RNA
Rfam family: Bacterial small subunit ribosomal RNA
Source: RNAcentral